This 301-nucleotide ribosomal RNA is filed under the name uncultured bacterium. RNAcentral's name for it is "partial 16S ribosomal RNA". It matches the Rfam family "Bacterial small subunit ribosomal RNA", at positions 509 to 807 of the family's 1533-position model. The record is from RNAcentral.
CAGCCGCCACGGGAAUACAGAGGGUGCGAGCGUUAAUCGGAUUUACUGGGCGUAAAGCGUGCGUAGGUGGUGGUUUAAGUCCGUUGUGAAAGCCCUGGGCUCAACCUGGGAAUUGCAGUGGAUACUGGGUCACUAGAGUGUGGUAGAGGAUAGUGGAAUUUCCGGUGUAGCAGUGAAAUGCGUAGAGAUCGGAAGGAACAUCUGUGGCGAAGGCGACUAUCUGGGCCAACACUGACACUGAGGCACGAAAGCGUGGGGAGCAAACAGGAUUAGAUACCCGUGUAGUCCCUGUCUCUUAUAC